AUUGAACGCUGGCGGCAUGCCUUACACAUGCAAGUCGAACGGCAGCACGGGUGCUUGCACCUGGUGGCGAGUGGCGAACGGGUGAGUAAUAUAUCGGAACGUACCUUAUUGUGGGGGAUAACGCAGCGAAAGCUGUGCUAAUACCGCAUAAUCCCUAAGGGGGAAAGCGGGGGACCGUAAGGCCUCGCGCAAUUAGAGCGGCCGAUACCUGAUUAGCUAGUUGGUGAGGUAAAGGCGAACCAAGGCAACGAUCAGUAGCUGGUCUGAGAGGAUGAUCAGCAACACUGGGAGUGAGACACCGCCCAGACUCCUACGGGAGGCAGCAGUGGGGAAUUUUGGGCAAUGGGGGCAACCCUGAUCCAGCAAUGCCGCGUGAGUGAAGAAGGCCUUCGGGUUGUAAAGCUCUUUUGUCAGGGAAGAAACAGCAGCUCUAACACAGUUUGCGAAUGACGGUACCUGAAGAAUAGGCACCGGCUAACUACGUGCCAGCAGCCGCCGCGG
Molecule: ribosomal RNA, 501 nt
Filed under: uncultured bacterium
Lineage: Bacteria
Description: partial 16S ribosomal RNA
Rfam family: Bacterial small subunit ribosomal RNA
Source: RNAcentral